AUGAAAGACACGGGGGAGAGAGAGAGAGAGAGAGAGAGAGAGAGACAGAGGCAGAGACACAGGCAGACGAAGAAGCAGGCUCCCACGCAGGGAGCCCGAUGUGGGACUCCAGGAUCACAUCCUGGGCUGAAGGCAGGUGCUCCACCGCUGAGCCCCGCCCGGGCGACCCCACAAUCCUGUUUGAUAAAGAAUCUAACAUUUGGGAAGGCAUUUCGUCCCCGAGCGCUCCGUGUGGCCACCUGGAAGCGAAGCGGCACGCCUGCGUCCUGGCUGGAAUCAGAGGUAGGAAGGGAAGGCAGCGUCGCGUUCCGAAGGCACAGCAACGUGCAAGACAAGACUGACUUGGGGAUGACGUCCGGCGAGCCCUCCGCAAACCGCCAGCGGGCAAUCCCUGAAACACACUCAGCCGUGCCAGAAAGCCGGGUUUUGACCGAAAUAAAGAGCCAUGCGAUCGAAUUUGUUUCCUCACGGUUAACACCCGCCCCCCUCGCCCCCCACCCACCCCCAGCACCCUGGAGGACUCAGGUGCACGCCCAAGUCCGGGAGCCGCUCCCCCAGGCCCCCAGGCCCCCAGGCCUGACCGAGCCACCCGCCGGCCCCGCCCGCCCGCGCACCUCAGGAAACCCGCCGCCGGGCUCUAAGGCCGGCACGGGGAGUGGGGGCGGGGCCGAGCCCCCCCAAGGCUGCGACGCGAGGGCGGGGCGGCACACGAGGGGCCCCGCAAAGGCCGGCACGGCCCCCGGGCGACCCGACGACUGCACACGGCGGCACCACCGGCCCGGGCGCAGCCCCCGCCCCCCCCCACGGGCGACGGCGGACGCGGGCCCCACGCACGCCCGCCCCCGGAGCCCCGAGUCCCCGCUCACCAGGAACUGGAGCAUGGCGUCGGCGCGGAGGGCGGCGCAGCUCGGCGGGCGGGUCGGACCCUGCCGCUCCGAGCGAGGGGCGGAACCCGCCGUGCGCUUCCGGGUCACGCCCCGCCCCGCCCCGCCACGCCCCGCCACGCCCCGCCCCGCCCCGCGCCACGUCACGCCACGCGCCCCGCCCCGCCCCGCCCCACCCCGCGCUGCGUCACGCCCCUCGCGGUGCGCCCCGCCCCGCCCCGCGCCGCUCGCGGCGACCUGGCGCCCCCUGCAGGAGCGCCCCGGGAUUACCGCCCGAGCUGGGCGCCUCGAGGAGAAGCGCGAAAAGCAAGCCUGA
This 1200-nucleotide long non-coding RNA is filed under the name Canis lupus familiaris (dog). Its description in RNAcentral is "lncRNA (ENSCAFG00845009023.1)". Lineage: Eukaryota; Metazoa; Chordata; Mammalia; Carnivora; Canidae. The record is from RNAcentral.